GGAAAGAAACCAACAGGGAUUGCCUCAGUAACGGCGAGUGAAGCGGCAACAGCUCAAAUUUGAAAUCUGGCCCUUUCAGGGUCCGAGUUGUAAUUUGUAGAGGAUGCUUCGGCGAGGGCUCCCGUCUAAGUUCCCUGGAACGGGACGUCAUAGAGGGUGAGAAUCCCGUAUGUGAUGGGUUGCUCGAGCCAUGUGAAGCUCCUUCGACGAGUCGAGUUGUUUGGGAAUGCAGCUCUAAAUGGGAGGUAAAUUUCUUCUAAAGCUAAAUACCGGCCAGAGACCGAUAGCGCACAAGUAGAGUGAUCGAAAGAUGAAAAGCACUUUGGAAAGAGAGUUAAAAAGUACGUGAAAUUGUUGAAAGGGAAGCGCUUGCAACCAGACUUGUCCGCAGUUGUUCAGCCGGUCUCCUGACCGGCGUACUCUUCUGCGGCCAGGCCAGCAUCAGUUCGGGCGGUUGGAUAAAGGCCUCGGGAAUGUGGCUCUCUUCGGGGAGUGUUAUAGCCCGGGGCGGAAUGCAGCCAGCCUGGACUGAGGAUCUCGCUUCGGCAAGGAUGCUGGCGUAAUGGUUGUAAGCGGCCCGUCUUGAAACACGGACCAAGGAGUCUAACAUCUAUGCGAGUGUUUGGGUGUCAAACCCAUACGCGUAAUGAAAGUGAACGGAGGUGGGAACCCGCAAGGGCGCACCAUCGACCGAUCCUGAUGUCUUCGGAUGGAUUUGAGUAAGAGCAUAGCUGUUGGGACCCGAAAGAUGGUGAACUAUGCCUGAAUAGGGUGAAGCCAGAGGAAACUCUGGUGGAGGCUCGCAGCGGUUCUGACGUGCAAAUCGAUCGUCAAAUUUGGGUAUAGGGGCGAAAGACUAAUCGAACCAUCUAGUACUGGU
Molecule: ribosomal RNA, 880 nt
Filed under: Aplosporella sp. GCR-2022a
Lineage: Eukaryota; Fungi; Ascomycota; Dothideomycetes; Botryosphaeriales; Aplosporellaceae
Description: partial large subunit ribosomal RNA
Rfam family: Eukaryotic large subunit ribosomal RNA
Source: RNAcentral